UAAUCAUUAUUGCCGAAUUUCUUGAUACUGAAAACGGGGGAACCAUUUUUGGGUGAAAUAUUCUCAUUGAAGAAUAGAGGGAACCUUCUACCGAACCCUUAGCUAACUCCGUAGGCAUCGGAAGGAGAACUA
RNAcentral lists this small RNA (132 nucleotides) under Paenibacillus rhizosphaerae. Its description in RNAcentral is "c-di-AMP sequence". It matches the Rfam family "c-di-AMP riboswitch aptamer (ydaO/yuaA leader)". From Rfam's summary of the family: This family represents a conserved RNA structure found upstream of the ydaO and yuaA genes in Bacillus subtilis and related genes in other bacteria. The ydaO/yuaA element is thought to act as a genetic "off" switch for the ydaO and yuaA genes in its native state. The record is from Rfam by way of RNAcentral. Lineage: Bacteria; Bacillati; Bacillota; Bacilli; Caryophanales; Paenibacillaceae.